GGUCCGAUAAUUUAGUUUUUAGUCCAGUUUCUGUAGUGUUCCAAUUUUCCUUCAUGUCUUCUCCACAAAUUGAAUAAUGAUAGGAUCCGAAAAGCUUAUCCAAAUAAAACAGGUAUAAUGUUCCAGGUUCAAACUUUUAAGAAACUUCCAAUUUUAUGGUUCAUUACACACUUUCUUGUCAAAAACUCCAAAUAGACUUCCUUUGUAAAUUUUCACUUAAGUUUGGUUCUUUGCAAUAUUUAGUUCCAAAUGACGGUUUUUGAGAUUUGAGGUACCAAGAAUCUUUCCUCUUGCUCCACCAUCUGUAAUGCAGGAAAAAGUUCUGUAAUGCAGGAAAAGGGGGAAGAAUCGCUGUUCCGUCAGGUUGUCUCCCCUUUCCCUCCAAAACGCUAAUAAUAUUAAAAUCGGGGAACUGACAUCUUUCACUUGGGGACUGUUCUCGCUCGCUUUUAUCUAUACGGGGAUUCUAUCUUCUUUCGGAGAAUCUGGGGAAUGCUAGCUCGCUCAUGUUCAGGUCUAUGUUAUACCUUCUGCUGGCGUGUCCCUCAUCUCGGACACUUUCUCCUUUCGAGGCCUGGCGCUGGUGAAUAAAAUACAAUGAUGUUUCAAUUAUUUAUUCCAAAACAGCUAUCUAUAUUGAAGUGUGAUAUGUGAUGUUUGGAGUUGCGGUCUCCCCUUUUUAACCCCAACAUCACGUGCUGAUUGGAAUUAUUUUAUUCACCUAUGAAAUUUAAGCGUCAAUUUUGAAUUUUCUAAAGUUACUUUUUAUUGGUCAACUAUUCUCUUUUUAUGUUAUAUAUUUAUAUGAUUGGCAUAUAUUUUAUUUAGUUAUGUAAAAGCAAUUAAAGGAUUAUCAAAAUCUUUACUUACUUUACAGAAUUAUUAAGUGGACAAUAGAAACACUUAUGGGUUAUUUUCCUACGGCAAAUUACAUACAUUUUUAUUCUUUUAAAAGAUGACAGUUUAUUUAAUUUAUUUCUCAACGUCAGAUUAAUAGCUAUGAUCAAAAGAACUCUAGAAAUGAGAUUAACUAUAUUAUUUAUAAAAAGACGAAACUAUUUAUAACUUAAUCUUACGUCACCUACUUUGUCUUGGAGCUUUAGCAAUGCAAUUUAAUUCAAUUUUAUUUAUUUAAUAGUUUAUUUAUCUAAGUUUACUUUAUUUUAUUUUCUUUUUACAACAUGCAAUUUUCCAUCAUUAUAUACUCCACCAUUCUGUAAUGCAGGAAAAGGGGGAAGGAUCGCUGCUCAGUUAGGUUGUCUCCCCUUUCCCUCCAAAACGUUAGUAAACUUAAAUAUCGGGGGCUGACAUCUUUCACUUGGGGACUGUUCUCGCUCGCUUUUAUCUAUACGGGGAUUCUAUCUUCUUUCGGAGAAUCUGGGGAAUACUAGCUCGCUCAUAUUCAGGUCUAUGUAAAACCUUCUACUGGCGUGUCCCUCAUCUCGGACACUUUCUCCUUUCGAGGCCUGGCGCUGGUGAAUAAAAUACAAUGAUGUUUCAAUUAUUUAUUCCAAAACAGCUAUCUAUAUUGAAGUGUGAUAUGUGAUGUUUGGAGUUGCGGUCUCCCCUUUUUAACCCCAACAUCACGUGCUGAUUGGAAUUAUUUUAUUCACCUAUGAAAUUUAAGCGUCAAUUUUGAAUUUUCUAAAGUUACUUUUUAUUGGUCAACUAUUCUCUUUUUAUGUUAUAUAUUUAUAUGAUUGGCAUAUAUUUUAUUUAGUUACGUAAAAGCAAUUAAUGGAUUAUCAAAAUCUUUACUUACUUUACAGAAUUAUUAAGUGGACAAUAGAAA
Molecule: long non-coding RNA, 1792 nt
Filed under: Mytilus galloprovincialis (Mediterranean mussel)
Lineage: Eukaryota; Metazoa; Mollusca; Bivalvia; Mytilida; Mytilidae
Source: RNAcentral